GCAAGCUUUUAUUGAACAUUCAAAGCAGUAAGGCGAUUAACAAUGAGUACAUCUAACAGCAAGAGGAGAACACACCUGCACAAUUUUUGAUGCAUUAAAUAUAAUUAGACAAGUAUUACAAGUUCAAUUCAAAUCUCUUUGUUCAAUGAAGAGUAAGUUAGAAUUAAUGGGUAAUCUAUCUAAUAAUCACUAUACAAAACUUUUCCAGCCUCAUCGUCUCUUCUCCUUUAAUUCUUCUGUGUGUCAUUUCCCUUCAAAAACGCCCACAAAUCAUAGAAUAAUCUCUGCUCGUCAAUGAAUGAUAUCUAUAUUUAUUCUUCCUUUUGGACAAAUUUGGCCCACUCUGGAUAACUCUCGUUUUCCAGGGUAACGGUCAAAUAAAUGCCUGCAAGAUUCCCCUGGAUGUUCAAAAUCAUUUGGCAUCCAAAAAAAAUUAUAGUAAUUCCUGUGUGUCCCCAGCUUUAACAAAAAGAUUGUACCAGAAAUCCAUAUCGUUAUCAUCAUCAAUUCUCGGAAAGUUGCUAUAAAAUCCUGCUGCUACCAUACUGUCUGAUGCCAAUUCCAUGCUGGAAUUCUCAGCUAAUUCUGCUUCUGACCAAAGAUCUUGGUCUAUCAACGGAAAAAACAUAUCCGAUGAGUCCAUUUUUUCGACCUUGAUGUUCUCUGUUUCGGCGGUGGCACCUGAAGUUUCGGUUACGGUGGAAAGGUCACUAGAAGAGGGCUGAGGGGACAUUGGUGAAUGCCCUGGACUUGCAAUUAAUCCUGGAAGAGCUGGAAUGAUGGAAUUGUCAGAUUCUGAUAGGUUACUGACACUGAGAUCAUCACAUUUUGGUACUGUCACAUAGAGUUGUUGAUUAUUGGAAUCUUGCUUUUGUUUGAUCUUCUUCUUCAGGUGGGUGUGCCACACAUUCUUAAUCUCGUUGUCUGUCCUUCCUGGUAAUUUCGCUGCAAUUGCCGACCACCUAUUUCCCAGCAUUUCAUGUAACUUGAUAAUGGUUUUCUCUUCUUCCUCGGUGAAGUUUCCUCGCUUAAUGUCUGGCCUCAAAUAGUUUAUCCAUCGGAGUCUGCAACUCUUCCCACAUCUUAAUAAACCAGCUAGCUUAGGCAGUGCACGCCAAUUGCUAUGGCCAUAUUUUUGAAUAUGGGAAAUCAAAAUCUUAUCUUCUUCAGGUGUCCAAGGCCCUUUCUUUAAUCCCAUCUUCUCACAGCAAGGAGCUCUCACCAUUUUUGUUAUCUCAACUCAAGAAGCCUAAAUGCCCUUAUAUAUGUGAUACAUGGGUUUGGAUUCAACCGGAUUGAAUAGGAUUUU
RNAcentral lists this unclassified non-coding RNA (1309 nucleotides) under Hevea brasiliensis (rubber tree). Lineage: Eukaryota; Viridiplantae; Streptophyta; Magnoliopsida; Malpighiales; Euphorbiaceae. The record is from RNAcentral.